RNAcentral lists this ribosomal RNA (544 nucleotides) under bacterium T-1-48-1F. RNAcentral describes it as "bacterial SSU rRNA". It matches the Rfam family "Bacterial small subunit ribosomal RNA", at positions 369 to 904 of the family's 1533-position model. The record is from RNAcentral.
CAAUGGACGAAAGUCUGAUGGAGCAACGCCGCGUGAGUGAAGAAGGUUUUCGGAUCGUAAAACUCUGUUGUAAGGGAAGAACAAGUACGGUAGUAACUGGCCGUACCUUGACGGUACCUUAUUAGAAAGCCACGGCUAACUACGUGCCAGCAGCCGCGGUAAUACGUAGGUGGCAAGCGUUGUCCGGAAUUAUUGGGCGUAAAGCGCGCGCAGGCGGUCCUUUAAGUCUGAUGUGAAAGCCCACGGCUCAACCGUGGAAGGUCAUUGGAAACUGGGGGACUUGAGUGCAGAAGAGGUUAGUGGAAUUCCAAGUGUAGCGGUGAAAUGCGUAGAGAUUUGGAGGAACACCAGUGGCGAAGGCGACUAACUGGUCUGUAACUGACGCUGAGGCGCGAAAGCGUGGGGAGCAAACAGGAUUAGAUACCCUGGUAGUCCACGCCGUAAACGAUGAGUGCUAAGUGUUAGGGGGUUUCCGCCCCUUAGUGCUGCAGUAAACGCAUUAAGCACUCCGCCUGGGGAGUACGGCCGCAAGGCUGAAACUCAA